GACGAACGCUGGCGGCGUGCCUAAUACAUGCAAGUAGAACGCUGAAGAGAGGAGCUUGCUCUUCUUGGAUGAGUUGCGAACGGGUGAGUAACGCGUAGGUAACCUGCCUUGUAGCGGGGGAUAACUAUUGGAAACGAUAGCUAAUACCGCAUAACAAUAGGUGACACAUGUCAUUUAUUUGAAAGGGGCAAUUGCUCCACUACAAGAUGGACCUGCGUUGUAUUAGCUAGUAGGUGAGGUAACGGCUCACCUAGGCGACGAUACAUAGCCGACCUGAGAGGGUGAUCGGCCACACUGGGACUGAGACACGGCCCAGACUCCUACGGGAGGCAGCAGUAGGGAAUCUUCGGCAAUGGGGGCAACCCUGACCGAGCAACGCCGCGUGAGUGAAGAAGGUUUUCGGAUCGUAAAGCUCUGUUGUAAGUCAAGAACGAGUGUGAGAGUGGAAAGUUCACACUGUGACGGUAGCUUACCAGAAAGGGACGGCUAACUACGUGCCGGCAGCCGCGGUAAUACGUAGGUCCCGAGCGUUGUCCGGAUUUAUUGGGCGUAAAGCGAGCGCAGGCGGUUUGAUAAGUCUGAAGUUAAAGGCUGUGGCUCAACCAUAGUUCGCUUUGGAAACUGUCAAACUUGAGUGCAGAAGGGGAGAGUGGAAUUCCAUGUGUAGCGGUGAAAUGCGUAGAUAUAUGGAGGAACACCGGUGGCGAAAGCGGCUCUCUGGUCUGUAACUGACGCUGAGGCUCGAAAGCGUGGGGAGCGAACAGGAUUAGAUACCCUGGUAGUCCACGCCGUAAACGAUGAGUGCUAGGUGUUGGAUCCUUUCCGGGAUUCAGUGCCGCAGCUAACGCAUUAAGCACUCCGCCUGGGGAGUACGACCGCAAGGUUGAAACUCAAAGGAAUUGACGGGGGCCCGCACAAGCGGUGGAGCAUGUGGUUUAAUUCGAAGCAGCGCGAAGAACCUUACCAGGUCUUGACAUCCCGAUGCUAUUUCUAGAGAUAGAAAGUUACUUCGGUACAUCGGUGACAGGUGGUGCAUGGUUGUCGUCAGCUCGUGUCGUGAGAUGUUGGGUUAAGUCCCGCAACGAGCGCAACCCCUAUUGUUAGUUGCCAUCAUUCAGUUGGGCACUCUAGCGAGACUGCCGGUAAUAAACCGGAGGAAGGUGGGGAUGACGUCAAAUCAUCAUGCCCCUUAUGACCUGGGCUACACACGUGCUACAAUGGUUGGUACAACGAGUUGCGAGUCGGUGACGGCAAGCUAAUCUCUUAAAGCCAAUCUCAGUUCGGAUUGUAGGCUGCAACUCGCCUACAUGAAGUCGGAAUCGCUAGUAAUCGCGGAUCAGCACGCCGCGGUGAAUACGUUCCCGGGCCU
Molecule: ribosomal RNA, 1369 nt
Filed under: uncultured bacterium
Lineage: Bacteria
Description: bacterial SSU rRNA
Rfam family: Bacterial small subunit ribosomal RNA
Source: RNAcentral